UACGUAGGGUGCGAGCGUUGUCCGGAAUUAUUGGGCGUAAAGGGCGCGUAGGCGGCCUGGUCAGUCGGAUGUGAAAGCCCGGGGCUCAACCCCGGAACGGCAUCCGAGACGGCCAGGCUGGAGACCGGGAGAGGAGAGUGGAAUAGCCAGUGUAGGGGUGAAAUUCGUAGAUAUUGGCUGGAACACCGGUGGCGAAAGCGGCUCUCUGGCCCGGUUCUGACGCUGAGGCGCGAAAGCGUGGGGAGCAAACAGG
This 253-nucleotide ribosomal RNA is filed under the name uncultured bacterium. Its description in RNAcentral is "partial 16S ribosomal RNA". It matches the Rfam family "Bacterial small subunit ribosomal RNA", at positions 524 to 776 of the family's 1533-position model. The record is from RNAcentral.